CUCGAAGCCCCGCUAGCCCCUUUCGGGCUGGUAGUUUGCCGGGGAGCUCAUGGACUGUAACAUCCCAAAUUUUUCAAAUUCGGAUGUUCGCACCUUUACAUUUCUUAUGCAUAUCACCUUGAUCAUAUCUUAAAAUAUUGGUGUUCGUUAUGAUGCAUUAUUGAAAGUGUUUGAAAUGGUGUUUUGGAAUGUGAUAGGUUGAUAGAAAUUGAAUUGAGAAUUUUCUAGAGUCUAAAAACGCAUUUUAAAAUUUUAUUUGGGUUUAUUUAAAGCUUAGAAACAUGAAAACUAUUUUUACAAACUUAUUUUUGAGUGGGAAUAAUUUUCCUGGACUCUAAAUGAAAUAUAUUAUUUUACAUAAUUUUUGGGAAUUUUUCUGAAGCCAUUUGAUAUUUUAAAUGAUUUAAAUGGAAUUUCGGGUGAAUUAUAGAUCCUGAAAAGUAAUUUUUAUCUUUUUCCUUUUUUUCUUUUUCUUUUUCUCUCAAAAUACGCUUUCUCCGCACGGAAGCGUAUUCUCAGGAGAUACGCUUUCAAUCUCUUAUCUCUCUCACUGACAGGUGGGGUCCACCUGUCAUCCGUCGCCUCCGCCGUCUCCAACCGCCGCCGGCGCCGCGCCUGGCCGCUCCCCGCCGCCACCCGCGCCCGCCUGCCCGCUCGGCCUCGCCGACCCCGCUGACGGCCGCAUCGCCCGCGCCGACCGCUCGCACCGCCCGCCC
Molecule: long non-coding RNA, 716 nt
Filed under: Brachypodium distachyon (stiff brome)
Lineage: Eukaryota; Viridiplantae; Streptophyta; Magnoliopsida; Poales; Poaceae
Description: long non-coding RNA (BDIS_LNC003292)
Source: RNAcentral